This is a long non-coding RNA of Zootermopsis nevadensis, 645 nucleotides long. RefSeq lists it as uncharacterized. Lineage: Eukaryota; Metazoa; Arthropoda; Insecta; Blattodea; Termopsidae. The record is from RefSeq and is a predicted model, not a curated record.
UCUUCUGCUCAUUUCAAGACCGAAACAAUUUUAAUCAGAAGUCAAUGUAUUCAGGGCCCGUCGCUGCCAUGCCUUGGCUUCGUCAGUCUGUCUGUCAAUUGGCUGCAAAGUGCUCGAGAGCUACCAUGAAUCAACGCUCUGUUACAUUGACGUAAGCUGGCAAACAGUGAAUCACAACGCAGAUGUGAAGACGUUUCAAAUUUAACUGCAUCUCAACUACCACAGAACGAAGGAUCUGAGACCAUGCAAACUCGCAUAAAGGAGUCUACAAGGCGUCACAAUCCAGAAUAUCGUCACAUUCGCCGCCUUGAGAGAACAUCAGAUCUCACAAACAAUAACAAGAUUUAAGGUUAUCACGGCGGUAAAGAGAUCGAUGUUCAACAUUUGGCAUGUAACGCCACGUGUACCCGGACAAAUAAACCAAAAUCCCCGAGGUAAAAUACUGCCUCCAGGAAGGAAGUCGUCAACCCUGAAUAUAAAGGCAGUACGUUCCUCAGAAUAUUUCAAACCAACCGAAAAGUUCAGACGUCUUUAUAACUGAACAGGACAACAUCUGUAAUUAUAAUAAUUAAUUAGAUCAAGGCAGUAGUCAAAUUAAGGUAAUAUCGAGUAAGAUUCAAUAAAAUGAACCGAAAUAUUGUUAAA